This 215-nucleotide long non-coding RNA is filed under the name Ananas comosus (pineapple). Its description in RNAcentral is "long non-coding RNA (ACOM_LNC004349)". The record is from RNAcentral. Lineage: Eukaryota; Viridiplantae; Streptophyta; Magnoliopsida; Poales; Bromeliaceae.
AAAGGUGCAAAAAGUUGCGUGAAGUGUCUAAUUAUUUAUACCGACUGUCUCUAGAGCAAGUGAUAAAGGAUUUGAUGGUUGGUACCCGAGACCCAAGUUCGAAUCCUAGUUGAUUCACAUUUUUAGCUAAGUUUAUUUCUAAAUGAAAUAAAUAAAGCGGGUAACAUGCUACCUAUCUCUCAAAAGAAAAAAAAAAAAAAAGUGUCUAAUUAUUU